Molecule: ribosomal RNA, 797 nt
Filed under: uncultured Gammaproteobacteria bacterium
Lineage: Bacteria; Pseudomonadati; Pseudomonadota; Gammaproteobacteria
Description: bacterial SSU rRNA
Rfam family: Bacterial small subunit ribosomal RNA
Source: RNAcentral
UGUGUAGCAAUACACAUGGGUGGCGAGUGGCGGACGGGUGAGUAACGCGUAGGAAUCUGCCUUGAAGCGGGGGAUAACCCGAGGAAACUCGGGCUAAUACCGCAUAAUCUCGAGAGAGAAAAGCUAGGUAGCAAUACCCGGCACUUCAAGAGGAGCCUGCGUACGAUUAGCUAGUUGGCGGGGUAAAGGCCCACCAAGGCGAUGAUCGUUAGCUGGUCUGAGAGGAUGAUCAGCCACACUGGAACUGAGACACGGUCCAGACUCCUACGGGAGGCAGCAGUGGGGAAUAUUGGACAAUGGGGGCAACCCUGAUCCAGCAAUGCCGCGUGUGUGAAGAAGGCCUUCGGGUUGUAAAGCACUUUAGUUUGGGAGGAAGUUAUGUAGUUUAAGAGACAGCAUAAUUGACUGUACCGAAAGAAUAAGCACCGGCUAACUCUGUGCCAGCAGCCGCGGUAAUACAGAGGGUGCAAGCGUUAAUCGGAGUUACUGGGCGUAAAGGGCGCGUAGGCGGUUUAAUAAGAUUGAUGUGAAAGCCCUGGGCUUAACCUAGGAACUGCAUCGAUGACUGUUAAGCUAGAGUAUUGUAGAGGGUAGUGGAAUUUCCGGUGUAGCGGUGAAAUGCGUAGAGAUCGGAAGGAACACCAGUGGCGAAGGCGGCUACCUGGACAAAUACUGACGCUGAGGCGCGAAAGCGUGGGGAUCAAACAGGAUUAGAUACCCUGGUAGUCCACGCUGUAAACGAUGAAAACUAGAUGUUGGGCAGCAUGACUGUUUAGUAUCGAAGCUAACGCGAUAAG